This 108-nucleotide ribosomal RNA is filed under the name uncultured eukaryote. RNAcentral's name for it is "partial small subunit ribosomal RNA". It matches the Rfam family "Eukaryotic small subunit ribosomal RNA", at positions 1676 to 1785 of the family's 1831-position model. The record is from RNAcentral.
UCGCUCCUACCGAUUGAGUGAUCCGGUGAAUAAUUUGGACUGUGGCAAUGUCUAGCUCUAGACUUUGCUGUAGAAAAUCUUAUGAACCUUAUCACUUAGAGGAAGGAG